RNAcentral lists this ribosomal RNA (429 nucleotides) under Bacillota bacterium. Its description in RNAcentral is "Firmicutes bacterium partial 16S ribosomal RNA". It matches the Rfam family "Bacterial small subunit ribosomal RNA", at positions 355 to 776 of the family's 1533-position model. Lineage: Bacteria; Bacillati; Bacillota. The record is from RNAcentral.
UAGGGAAUCUUCCGCAAUGGACGAAAGUCUGACGGAGCAACGCCGCGUGAACGAUGAAGGCUUUCGGGUCGUAAAGUUCUGUUGUUAGGGAAGAACAAGUACCGGAGUAACUGCCGGUACCUUGACGGUACCUAACCAGAAAGCCACGGCUAACUACGUGCCAGCAGCCGCGGUAAUACGUAGGUGGCAAGCGUUGUCCGGAAUUAUUGGGCGUAAAGCGCGCGCAGGCGGUUCCUUAAGUCUGAUGUGAAAGCCCCCGGCUCAACCGGGGAGGGCCAUUGGAAACUGGGGAACUUGAGUACUGAAGAGGAAAGCGGAAUUCCACGUGUAGCGGUGAAAUGCGUAGAGAUGUGGAGGAACACCAGUGGCGAAGGCGGCUUUCUGGUCAGUAACUGACGCUGAGGCGCGAAAGCGUGGGGAGCAAACAGG